GACGAACGCUGGCGGCGUGCUUAACACAUGCAAGUCGAACGGAAAGGCCCUGCUUUUGUGGGGUGCUCGAGUGGCGAACGGGUGAGUAACACGUGAGUAACCUGCCCUUGACUUUGGGAUAACUUCAGGAAACUGGGGCUAAUACCGGAUAGGAGCUCCUGCUGCAUAGUGGGGGUUGGAAAGUUUCGGCGGUUGGGGAUGGACUCGCGGCUUAUCAGCUUGUUGGUGGGGUAGUGGCUUACCAAGGCUUUGACGGGUAGCCGGCCUGAGAGGGUGACCGGCCACAUUGGGACUGAGAUACGGCCCAGACUCCUACGGGAGGCAGCAGUGGGGAAUAUUGCACAAUGGGCGGAAGCCUGAUGCAGCAACGCCGCGUGCGGGAUGACGGCCUUCGGGUUGUAAACCGCUUUCGCCUGUGACGAAGCGUGAGUGACGGUAAUGGGUAAAGAAGCACCGGCUAACUACGUG
RNAcentral lists this ribosomal RNA (468 nucleotides) under uncultured bacterium. Its description in RNAcentral is "partial 16S ribosomal RNA". It matches the Rfam family "Bacterial small subunit ribosomal RNA", at positions 28 to 507 of the family's 1533-position model. The record is from RNAcentral.